Molecule: ribosomal RNA, 253 nt
Filed under: uncultured bacterium
Lineage: Bacteria
Description: partial 16S ribosomal RNA
Rfam family: Bacterial small subunit ribosomal RNA
Source: RNAcentral
UACGAAGGGGGCUAGCGUUGCUCGGAAUUACUGGGCGUAAAGCGCACGUAGGCGGUUUCUUAAGUCGGUGGUGAAAUCCUGGAGCUCAACUCCAGAACUGCCUUCGAUACUGGGAAACUUGAGUUCGGGAGAGGUGAGUGGAACUGCGAGUGUAGAGGUGAAAUUCGUAGAUAUUCGCAAGAACACCAGUGGCGAAGGCGGCUCACUGGCCCGAUACUGACGCUGAGGUGCGAAAGCGUGGGGAGCAAACAGG